This 439-nucleotide long non-coding RNA is filed under the name Homo sapiens (human). Its description in RNAcentral is "HSALNT0401251". The record is from RNAcentral. Lineage: Eukaryota; Metazoa; Chordata; Mammalia; Primates; Hominidae.
AUUGUCUUCAACUACCCCAAAAAAAUCUCCUGGAAACUACUCUCUGAAAGAAGUUGGAGAAAAAUUAUUAAUGCACUUGAAGAAGAUCAAGAAAAAAGAAAGCGUGAGUAAUGUUUUGGGAUCAUCAAUAUCACUGUCUUCCACCUCUACAUCUUGCCACACUGGAAGGUCUUCGGGAGCAAUAACACAUACAGUUGUCACCUCCGGUUAUAACAAUGACUUCCUCUGGAAUACAGACUGAAGAAACUGCCUGGGACUGUUUUACAGUUGAGUUAUUUUUUAAUAAGUAGAGGAUGGACACUAUAAUAAUGAUAAAAAGUAUAGUAUAGUAAUUAUAGUAACAUAGUCGUUUACUAUCAUUCUGAAGUAUUAUGUACUGUGCAUGAUUGCAUGCUAUAUGUUUAUAUGACUGGCAGUGGAGUACACUUGUUUACUCCAG